GGGAUGGCUUAUAACCUGCUGC
This 22-nucleotide non-coding RNA is filed under the name Arabidopsis thaliana (thale cress). The record is from RNAcentral. Lineage: Eukaryota; Viridiplantae; Streptophyta; Magnoliopsida; Brassicales; Brassicaceae.